RNAcentral lists this ribosomal RNA (398 nucleotides) under uncultured bacterium. Its description in RNAcentral is "bacterial SSU rRNA". It matches the Rfam family "Bacterial small subunit ribosomal RNA", at positions 358 to 772 of the family's 1533-position model. The record is from RNAcentral.
GGGAUAUUGCACAAUGGGCGCAAGCCUGAUGCAGCAACGCCGCGUGCGCGAUGAAGGCCUUCGGGUCGUAAAGCGCUUUUCUGGCUGAAGAGGAAGGACAGUAAGCCAGGAAUAAGUGUCGGCUAACUACGUGCCAGCAGCCGCGGUAAAACGUAGGACGCGAGCGUUACCCGGAGUUACUGGGCGUAAAGCGCGGGCAGGCGGCCCUGCAAGUCUGAUGUGAAAGCGCCCGGCUCAACCGGGCGAGGCCAUUGGAGACUACAGGGCUGGAGGGCAGUAGAGGUAGGCGGAAUUCCAGGUGGAGUGGUGAAAUGCGUAGAGAUCCGGAGGAACACCAGAGGCGAAGGCGGCCUACUGGGCUGCACCUGACGCUGAGCCGCGAAAGCCAGGGGAGCGAA